This 468-nucleotide ribosomal RNA is filed under the name uncultured bacterium. Its description in RNAcentral is "partial 16S ribosomal RNA". It matches the Rfam family "Bacterial small subunit ribosomal RNA", at positions 28 to 507 of the family's 1533-position model. The record is from RNAcentral.
GAUGAACGCUGGCGGCGUGCUUAACACAUGCAAGUCGAACGGAAAGGCCGAAGCUUGCUUCGGUACUCGAGUGGCGAACGGGUGAGUAACACGUGGGUGAUCUGCCCUGUACUUCGGGAUAAGCUUGGGAAACUGGGUCUAAUACCGGAUAUGACGAUCUCUUGGAUGGGGUUGUGGAAAGCUUUUGCGGUAUGGGAUGAGCUCGCGGCCUAUCAGCUUGUUGGUGGGGUAAUGGCCUACCAAGGCGUCGACGGGUAGCCGGCCUGAGAGGGUGUACGGCCACAUUGGGACUGAGAUACGGCCCAGACUCCUACGGGAGGCAGCAGUGGGGAAUAUUGCACAAUGGGCGCAAGCCUGAUGCAGCGACGCCGCGUGGGGGAUGACGGCCUUUGGGUUGUAAACUCCUGUCGCAAUCGACGAAGCCUUUUGGUGACGGUAGGUUGAGAAGAAGCACCGGCUAACUACGUG